UGAGGAAUCUUGCGCAAUGGGGAAACCCCGACGCAGCAACGCCGCGUGAGUGAGGAAGGUCUUCGGGUCGUAAAGCUCUGUCAGGCGGGAAGAAAUGCAUGGAGGUGAACAGCCGCCAUGCUUUACGGUACCGCCAGAGGAAGCACCGGCUAACUCCGAGCCAGCAGCCGCGGUAAUACGGGGGGUGCAAGCGUUGUUCGGAAUCAUUGGGCGUAAAGAGCGUGUAGGCGGCUUGGUAAGUCAGAUGUGAAAGCCCUGGGCUCAACCCGGGAAGUGCAUUUGAAACUGCCAGGCUCGAGUAGGGGAGAGGGAAGUGGAAUUCCUGGUGUAGAGGUGAAAUUCGUAGAUAUCAGGAGGAACACCGGUGGCGAAGGCGACUUCCUGGCCCUAUACUGACGCUGAGACGCGAGAGCGUGGGUAGCAAACAG
Molecule: ribosomal RNA, 428 nt
Filed under: uncultured bacterium
Lineage: Bacteria
Description: bacterial SSU rRNA
Rfam family: Bacterial small subunit ribosomal RNA
Source: RNAcentral